RNAcentral lists this ribosomal RNA (165 nucleotides) under Veronica spathulata. Its description in RNAcentral is "5.8S ribosomal RNA". It matches the Rfam family "5.8S ribosomal RNA". Rfam says of the family: 5.8S ribosomal RNA (5.8S rRNA) is a component of the large subunit of the eukaryotic ribosome. It is transcribed by RNA polymerase I as part of the 45S precursor that also contains 18S and 28S rRNA. Lineage: Eukaryota; Viridiplantae; Streptophyta; Magnoliopsida; Lamiales; Plantaginaceae. The record is from RNAcentral. RNAcentral also lists the same sequence under 1 other name.
CUAAACGACUCUCGGCAACGGAUAUCUCGGCUCUCGCAUCGAUGAAGAACGUAGCGAAAUGCGAUACUUGGUGUGAAUUGCAGAAUCCCGUGAACCAUCGAGUCUUUGAACGCAAGUUGCGCCCGAAGCCUUCUGGCUGAGGGCACGCCUGCCUGGGCGUCACGC